CUCUCAACAACGGAUAUCUUGGCUCCCGUAACGAUGAAGAACGCAGCGAAAUGCGAUACGUAGUGUGAAUUGCAGAAUUCCGUGAACCAUCGAAUCUUUGAACGCAAAUUGCGCUCGAGGCUUCGGCCAAGAGCAUGUCUGCCUCAGCGUCGGCUACUACC
This 161-nucleotide ribosomal RNA is filed under the name Trebouxia arboricola. RNAcentral describes it as "5.8S ribosomal RNA". It matches the Rfam family "5.8S ribosomal RNA". From Rfam's summary of the family: 5.8S ribosomal RNA (5.8S rRNA) is a component of the large subunit of the eukaryotic ribosome. It is transcribed by RNA polymerase I as part of the 45S precursor that also contains 18S and 28S rRNA. The record is from RNAcentral. Lineage: Eukaryota; Viridiplantae; Chlorophyta; Trebouxiophyceae; Trebouxiales; Trebouxiaceae.